AUUGAACGCUGGCGGCAUGCCUUACACAUGCAAGUCGAACGGUAACGGGCCUUCGGGUGCCGACGAGUGGCGAACGGGUGAGUAAUACAUCGGAACGUGCCCGAUCGUGGGGGAUAACGAGGCGAAAGCUUUGCUAAUACCGCAUACGAUCUACGGAUGAAAGCAGGGGACCGCAAGGCCUUGCGCGGACGGAGCGGCCGAUGGCAGAUUAGGUAGUUGGUGGGAUAAAAGCUUACCAAGCCGACGAUCUGUAGCUGGUCUGAGAGGAUGAUCAGCCACACUGGGACUGAGACACGGCCCAGACUCCUACGGGAGGCAGCAGUGGGGAAUUUUGGACAAAGGGCGCAAGCCUGAUCCAGCCAUGCCGCGUGUAGGAUGAAGGCCUUCGGGUUGUAAACUGCUUUUGUACGGAACGAAAAGCCUUCUUUUAAUACAGGAGGGUCAUGACGGUACCGUAAGAAUAAGCACCGGCUAACUACGUG
This 482-nucleotide ribosomal RNA is filed under the name uncultured bacterium. RNAcentral describes it as "partial 16S ribosomal RNA". It matches the Rfam family "Bacterial small subunit ribosomal RNA", at positions 30 to 507 of the family's 1533-position model. The record is from RNAcentral.